This 30-nucleotide non-coding RNA is filed under the name Rattus norvegicus (Norway rat). Lineage: Eukaryota; Metazoa; Chordata; Mammalia; Rodentia; Muridae. The record is from RNAcentral.
UACAAUACCAAAAUGGGGAAUUAGCACAGU